RNAcentral lists this long non-coding RNA (555 nucleotides) under Heterocephalus glaber (naked mole-rat). RNAcentral's name for it is "lncRNA (ENSHGLG00100051469.1)". The record is from RNAcentral. Lineage: Eukaryota; Metazoa; Chordata; Mammalia; Rodentia; Bathyergidae.
CAGGGCUUGGUCCCCAGCUUGUCCCUGUUGAGGGGUAGUGGAAACUCCCGGGCGGAGAAGUACAGGUCUUUGGGUGUGUGCCCUUGAAAGGGAGUGUGGGACUCAGUCUCUUCUUUCUCUCUUUUAGGAAGGGAGUGGUUCUGUCCUGUCACACAACCCUGCCAGGAUGUGCUGCCCUGCCAUAGCCUAAAAGCAACAGCCAACUGACUGUGGGUUGGAGCCUCUGAAACCAUGAGUGUUACCAACAUGCGAUGGUGACAAAGGGUCUGUGCGUUUAUUUCAUCCUUCAAGUCGGAUGGAUGCCAGUCCUGAACUCAAGGUUCUGUUGGCCUCACAUGCACACUCCGCUGACCUCUCCACCAAGGUCCACAGCUGGGAAGGGCUGACACCCAAGACAGGGCACUGAGGACACCACAUCCAGCACUGAUGGCGACCGGUGAGAGGGUGGUGCCGGGAGCCCCACGGCACUGCCCAGUCCUCUCCUGGGAUGGUGAAGUCUUCCUCCACCAGCACUUCCCUUGGCCGGAUGUCCUGUGCCACCACAGGCCCAAGGCA